Long non-coding RNA from Myotis brandtii (Brandt's bat), 527 nucleotides. RefSeq lists it as uncharacterized. Lineage: Eukaryota; Metazoa; Chordata; Mammalia; Chiroptera; Vespertilionidae. The transcript has 3 exons. The record is from RefSeq and is a predicted model, not a curated record.
ACGUAACCAUGAAACGACGUACAUCGAGUCCUACAUAACCCGAGGACUGUCUGUAUGUUAUUUAGUUGCAAAUGAAAGAUGCCCAAUUUAAAUUCUCUUAAACUCAUGGGAGAUUAUUGUAAGGAUCCUAAAGUUUGAAACCAAGACAAGAAUGUUGUUGGGCUUUAGAAAUGAUUAAAUGCAGUGUCAACUCUCAUGUGUGCUUUCUGUCUCAGCUUUAUUGUUCCUCACUGUCUUAGUCUGUUCUGGCUGCCAUAACAAUACCACAGACUGGGCAGCUUAAACAGCAGGCAUUUCUCACAGAUUUGGAAGCAGGAAGCUCGAGAUCAAGGUGCCAGCAUUAUCAGUUUCUGGUGAAGCCUUGGCCUGCGAUUGGCUGCUUUCUCAACUGUGUCCUCAUAUGGCCUUUUCUCUCUGCAAAGGACACCAGUCCCAUCGGGUCAGGGACCCACCCUUAUGACUUCAUUUAAUCUUGGUUACUUCCUCAAAGGCCCCAUCUCCAAAUAUAGCCACAUUGAGGGAGGAGC